RNAcentral lists this ribosomal RNA (253 nucleotides) under uncultured bacterium. RNAcentral's name for it is "partial 16S ribosomal RNA". It matches the Rfam family "Bacterial small subunit ribosomal RNA", at positions 524 to 776 of the family's 1533-position model. The record is from RNAcentral.
GACGAAGGAUGCAAGCGUUAUCCGGAUUCAUUGGGUUUAAAGGGUGCGUAGGCGGCCCGGUAAGUCAGUGGUGAAAUCUCCUUGCUUAACAAGGAAACUGCCAUUGAUACUGAUGGUCUUGAGUACAUUUGAGGUGGGCGGAAUGUGUCAUGUAGUGGUGAAAUACUUAGAUAUGACACAGAACUCCGAUUGCGAAGGCAGCUCACUAAACUGUAACUGACGCUGAGGCACGAAAGCGUGGGGAUCAAACAGG